UACAGCCACACCGCAUUGAAACACCAGUUUACGUACGUUCGCCGAAGUUAAGCAACGUCGAACCUGGUCAGUAUCUAGAUGGGUGACCGCUUGGGAAUACCAGAUGUUAUA
Acanthosepion pharaonis is the source of this 111-nucleotide non-coding RNA. The record is from the annotation of a GenBank genome assembly. Lineage: Eukaryota; Metazoa; Mollusca; Cephalopoda; Sepiida; Sepiidae.